CCCUUAGAUGUUCUGGGCUGCACGCGCGCUACACUGACAUACUCAGCAAGUUUCCUUGCCUGAAAGGGUUGGGUAAUCUUGUUAGUGUAUGUCGUGAUGGGGAUAGAAUAUUGUAAUUAUUGUUCUUUAACGAGGAAUUCCUAGUAAGCGCAAGUCAUCAGCUUGCGUUGAUUACGUCCCUGCCCUUUGUACACACCGCCCGUCGCUCCUACCGAUUGGGUGAUCCGGUGAAUGAUUCGGACUCUGGCUAUGCUAGCUACUAGCUACGUCAGGGAAAGUUUUGUGAACCUUAUCACUUGGAGGAAGGAGAAGUCGUAACA
This 320-nucleotide ribosomal RNA is filed under the name uncultured eukaryote. RNAcentral's name for it is "partial 18S ribosomal RNA". It matches the Rfam family "Eukaryotic small subunit ribosomal RNA", at positions 1470 to 1796 of the family's 1831-position model. The record is from RNAcentral.